This 439-nucleotide ribosomal RNA is filed under the name fungal sp. RNAcentral describes it as "SSU rRNA". It matches the Rfam family "Eukaryotic small subunit ribosomal RNA", at positions 634 to 1077 of the family's 1831-position model. The record is from RNAcentral. Lineage: Eukaryota; Fungi.
UUGAAUUUCGGGAUCAAUAUGUCGGUCGUGCCUUGGUACGCACUGGCUAUUAUUGAUUCUUACCUUCUGAAGAAUCUCGAUGUCAUUAAGUUGGUGUCUUGGAGAAUCAGGACUGUUACUUUAGAAAAAUUAGAUAGUUUAAAGCAGGCUCGUGCUUGAAUACAUUAGCAUGGAAUAAUAAAAUAGGACGUUUGAUUCUAUUUUGUUGGUUUCUAGGAUUGACGUAAUGAUUAAUAGGAAUAGUUGGGGGCAUUAGUAUUCAAUUGUCAGAGGUGAAAUUCUUGGAUUUAUUGGACUAACUACUGCGAAAGCAUUUGCCAAGGAUGUUUUCAUUAAUCAAGAACGAAAGUUAGGGGAUCGAAGACGAUCAGAUACCGUCGUAGUCUUAACCAUAAACUAUGCCGACUAGGGAUCGGAUGAUGUUAAUUUUUAAUGACUC